RNAcentral lists this ribosomal RNA (253 nucleotides) under uncultured bacterium. RNAcentral describes it as "partial 16S ribosomal RNA". It matches the Rfam family "Bacterial small subunit ribosomal RNA", at positions 524 to 776 of the family's 1533-position model. The record is from RNAcentral.
UACAUAGGGUGCAAGCGUUAAUCGGAAUUACUGGGCGUAAAGCGUGCGCAGGCGGUUUUUUAAGUCAGAUGUGAAAUCCCCGGGCUUAACCUGGGAACUGCGUUUGAAACUACAAGGCUAGAGUGUGGCAGAGGGGGGUGGAAUUCCACGUGUAGCAGUGAAAUGCGUAGAGAUGUGGAGGAACACCGAUGGCGAAGGCAGCCCCCUGGGUUAACACUGACGCUCAGGCACGAAAGCGUGGGGAGCAAACAGG